AUUUUACAGAUGAAGAAGAUGAGACUCAGAGCAAUUCAUAAGUUGCCCAAGGUCAGAGAGCAAGUUUUGGGGUACAUGAGCAGAGCAUGCAAGACAGUUGCUGACCCUAUCAGAGCAUGCUGAACACGUCCUGCCAUAUUCAGAGUACUUCCCUAUAAGCCGCAACAUUUUCCUCUCCUCCUCUGGAUGUUAGAAACAAUAACCCAGAACCGGCCUACAACCCCAGUCACAUCGUGAGUAUUGUCCUCUAUAAUCCUCUAGUUAUUAGGAACAAUAUCACGGGGGCUUGUGAGCUCUCUUAGAUACUUGCAGUAAUAUCUUUUAAGUUUUUGAAUAUUAGAAACGAUACUACAGUAGUGGUGUAUACUGCAUUCGAUAUUCAGAGUAUGGUAAUCCUUUGUCUUUCGGACAUGAUUCACU
Molecule: long non-coding RNA, 420 nt
Filed under: Callithrix jacchus (white-tufted-ear marmoset)
Lineage: Eukaryota; Metazoa; Chordata; Mammalia; Primates; Cebidae
Description: lncRNA (ENSCJAG00000078898.1)
Source: RNAcentral